ACCAGUCUCUAUCAGAGGGACAGUGCUGCUGUCAGCCUGAAUGAAGAGGUUUAUCCUGACAUCAACGUCAUCACAGGUCAGUCCCCUGUCCCCCUACACCAGUCUCUAUCAGAGGGACAGUGCUGCUGUCAGCCUGAAUGAAGAGGUUUAUCCUGACAUCAACGUCAUCACAGGUCAGUCCCCUAUCCCCCUAAACCAGUCUCUAUCAGCAUCAACGUCAUCACAGGUCAGUCCCCUAUCCCCUAAACCAGUCUCUAUCAGCAUCAACGUCAUCACAGGUCAGUCCCCUAUCCCCCUACACCAGUCUCUAUCAGCAUCAACGUCAUCACAGGUCAGUCCCCUGUCCCCCUACACCAGUCUCUAUCAGCAUCAACGUCAUCACAGGUCAGUCCCCUAUCCCCCUAAACCAGUCUCUAUCAGCAUCAACGUCAUCACAGGUCAGUCCCCUGUCCC
Molecule: long non-coding RNA, 453 nt
Organism: Oncorhynchus tshawytscha (Chinook salmon)
Lineage: Eukaryota; Metazoa; Chordata; Actinopteri; Salmoniformes; Salmonidae
Source: Ensembl